This 9989-nucleotide long non-coding RNA is filed under the name Populus trichocarpa (black cottonwood). RNAcentral's name for it is "long non-coding RNA (PTRI_LNC001316)". Lineage: Eukaryota; Viridiplantae; Streptophyta; Magnoliopsida; Malpighiales; Salicaceae. The record is from RNAcentral.
CAGAUUUUCACAGUCGGACUUGUGAUUGGCUUCUCUUCUGCAUCCUUAAGAACUGCAUCAAUUUCUGACAGUCUUCGCUUCCACUUGUUAAGUUCUUUCUCCACUUGUGUUUUGCGUACGAAGUUCAGAAGGUCUCCAGAGGUCAACUUUCCAAGCAAGGGCUCAAGAAGAGCCGAGAGAAAGACUUCUCCAACAACUUCCAUCCUGCUGAAUGAUGUCACAGAUAAGAUCAGAUUUUUGGCCUAAACAUUGACGGUACUCUAACUCAAUAAUAAGAAAAAGCUAAGAAUCCACUGCUUCUGCUGUGUUGGGUGGAUGUUUACAUCAUUAACAAGUUAUCAAAUAUAUGAAAAAAUCACUUAAAUUAGCAAAACACAUGUCUGCAAUUUUCUGCAGAAUCAGCUAUGAACAAGGGAGAGUUUUCUUUACACUGCAGAUUUUUCGUUCCCUGUCUUCUCUUUUACAAUUCCAGAAUAUUACAGCACCUUUAUGCUUCCAAAAUCAUCACAUCUUAUCCUUACACUUGCUCAUUUCAAUCACCACGUAAACUAACUCCAAUUACAUUGACUUGGCAUGCGUUACACUUAUUAAAGUUAAGGUUAAAGUUCUGUAACGUUCACAGCAUAUAAACCCCAACAGUAUCAGAAGCCAAUGAACUGCAAACAAAAAAAACUGAACCCAGUUUAUGAAACUAAAUAUAGUAGGUUAUCAUCGAGAGGAUAUUGGCAUCACGAAGAAUUAUGUCAUCAGCUUUUCAAACUUGCAAAACUACCCAGUAAUGAUAUAGUUUAGCAGAGUUUAAAAGAUGAAAAAGAAACUAGUAGCCAAAUUGUGGCUAGGGAGACCAAACGAUAGAUAUAGCAUUCUUCGGUGCAUUACCUGUUUUACACCGAGCAGCAAAUCGAUCUGUAAGUCCCUUGAAAACGGUAGAUCGGUACUCUUUAGAAAUUAAUCUUAGGUACUGUGGCAAAAGAAGAAGGCAAAGAUUGUGAAGAGGAGAGACAGAGAGCACUGAUUGAGAAGGCAAAGAUUGUGAAGAGGAGAGACAGAGAGCACUGAUUGAGGAGUAACUAGUAAAGACAGAAGACACAAAAAUUAAACAGAGGAGCGUACGCAUGGUCUUGACUUCUUUACAGCACAAAUAAUUGAACACGGUCAUAUGGACCCGCCCUUAUGAAAUUCACUUGUCUCUCACUCUAGAAUUUUACGGUAGCAAUACCCCCACUACAAAAAAAAGAUGUAAAAAAAAAAAAUAAACCAUUGAUAUGAUUCCAAUUCUCUUAAUUGCCAAACAUCGGCUGCCAUAGUUUGAAGGGGAAGCUCCUUGACAAACUUCCGAAAUUGUAAGUGAUUUAUAUCUAAUCUUCUUCGAUGUUCGAAGAAGGGGAAGACGAUAGGCUCUCAUGAAUAUUGGACACAUUAAGAUUCUUCCAUGAGCCAAACACCAUCCGCGUCUUUGAAGUACCAGGAAAGUAUCAAAUGGUCUAAUGGAGUUGAGGACUUGAUAGCCAGCUUAUAGCGAAAAGAAAAAAAAUUAGGAUUUCCUAAGCCUUUAUAUUAUAGCUAUAUUAAUCAUUAUGAAUGCCAAAAUUUUCUUAACUAUUUUAAAAAAUAACAUGCAAAAUUAUUUAAAUAGUAAAUUAAACCGAUUUAAUUAAUAAAAUUCAAAUCAAAUAAAAAUAUGAAAUCUAAUUAUGAAAAGAAUUUGAAAAUAACAAGAAAAAUAAACAAAAUUCCGAGUCAACAACUUCUAAACCUAAUUUAGGCAUGUUCUUGACCUCAGUUAGUGUCAGCAAAGUUUCAAGCUUGGACUUGAUAAUACUGUUUAUUUCCGAGCACCCACCCAAGCUUGGAACCAAAUAUAUACUCAUCCUGCAGAUUGCACAAGCUUGGACUACUGAUUAAUUAUUCGAACGAAUGUGAUAGAUCCUGUAUUUCCUAAUAAUUUGAACUUCUACUUCCUCUUGAGGCUGUAGCUAUGAGUUUUCUGCUUCCAGGACAAGACCAUCAGAAGAAAAUAUAAUUUUCAUCCUCUUAAUUUUAAUCCUACAAAAUAAAGAGAAAAUAAAGUCAUCUUGAUAUCUUCUUCUACACAUGUUACUCACUUAGAGGAUGUUUUGGGACAUGUUUGGAAUGGAGUUUCUUAAAAUUUUAAAUUUGUUUUGUUUAAAAUUUUUUAUAUAUAUUUUUUAUCGUUUUUGAUAUAUUAAUAUCAAAACUAUUUUUUUAAAAAAAUAAUUUAAUAUAUUUUCAAAUAAAAAACAAUAAUUACACCAUAUAAAUCACUAUUAUUCUUUUUCAAGAGUUUACAAGGGAGACGCCAUUUCCUCGCACACAGGAUGUGACUAAAGAGAAACCACUUGGAAAUGUCAAGCUGGGAAAAGAAGGGAAGGAAGCAGGUUCUUGCCUCUGAUAAUUAUACAAUUUUGAAAAAAGAAAUUGAAAGAGAAAAAUCAAAGAUGAAGACUCACUGUCAAACUAUAAUGAUUACGCAUGGAUAAUUCAUGACUUAUAUUUAUCUGACAUGAAUUCAACCCAAACUCAAUGGAUUUGACAUUAAAUUACAUGAUUUAAUGAGUUUUUUUUAGACCGUAUCAAUCUAUGGAUAAUAAAUAAAAAAUAUAAAUAAAUAUUAUCAAAACUAAGUCGAAACGAUGCACAUUUACAUCCCUGCUAACAUGUAUUCUCAUGGUGCAGAAGCAUCUCGACGACUUUGCUCAUGGUGGGGCUUGCAUCUUUGACUUUCUCCACGCAUUUCAACGCCAACGAAGAACCCAUCUCGGCUCUGUCAUAUUCUCCGUCCAAUGCCAUUCCAUUUCCAUUGGCUCCAUCUUUCUUUUCCCUCGCCGCCUAUGUCCCACUAUUGGUACAGCUUGGAUAAGUAUUAUUAUGGUGGGGGGGCUUGCAUCUUUGUCUUUCUCCACGCAUUUCAAUGCCACCGAAGAACCCAUCUUGGCUCUGUCAUAUUCUCCAUUCCAUUGGCUCCAUCUUUCUUUUCCCUCGCCACUACAGCCAAGGAUGAAGUCUAUGAGAUGACAUGUGAAAACUUUAUUUGUUUGUUUUCAGUAGACAUUAUUUGCUCUAUUAUUGCAGGGUGUUUAAUCAUGUAAUGAAUAUUUUAGCUUUGAAACCUUGGAGUUGGCCCUUUCUAAGUAUGAUUGUAGUGUCUUUUAAUAGAUUUAAGACUUCUAUAUCUCAUCUUCUACUUCAAAAAAUAUAGAAAGGAUCCCUUUAAGUAGACUAUAGGUCUAGGGAGGCCUAUACUUGGAAAAAUUUAAAACAUUCUGUAUGGGUCAAACGCCCAUGAUUAGGUUACAAAUGAAAGUAAAGGAGAGCGCAAGAAAUUGCAUUAAAUAAAUUUUAAAAAAAAAGGGUAAAAAAAGAGUGCGUGCUAUUGCCUUCUACCAUUUCUUCUGAAAUAAAGGAAACAAAAAAUUUCAAGAAAAAUCUCCUACAGACAAGGGGGUAGGGCACGCUGGAAAAAUAAUCUGCUGUCAUAAUCCAGAAAGAAGCUAGACAGAAAAGGCCACUCGGGUUCAAAAUCCCAGCCAUCAAGAUUGAACAUCAACUUGAAACCCAUAAUAAACUGAAAUCAAGUAGACAAAUGUUUGACUAAUCCACCUACACUUCCAAGAAAAUUGCUAUUUGGUGAGCUCAUCAUCGUCUUCGCAUCCCCCGUCCACGGCCACGGAAACCACCUCCCCCACGUCCACCCAUAGCACUUGCAGCAGCUUCUCCCUGAGCACUUUCAGACUGCAACAUCAUUUAUGAUGGGAAACAAUCAGCUUACCCGUAAUAUCAACGGUUACCAUCCUGGUCAGCUCCACCACGAAGAACAAUGGUGGCUGUCCUUCCAGAAGGGCAUCCGCUGAAAAUAUUAAACCUCUCAUUUCCAACUUGCUUUUCCUCAAAAAUCUCACAAGUCCCAAGAACCUUUAGGCCAAACAACAGACAAGAAUUAAAAAAUUGAAUGAAGAAAAGAAAAUGUUAACAAGCAUAUACUGUAUCGAUUAAAACUUUUAACAGAUUUUUCCAAAUCAAGAUAAUCGCAAGACCUCAUCAAUUAUGUUGUUGACAGUUGUCUGUACAGUUCCACCAGUUGCCGCAGCAACUCUUUGCAGAUCUUCUUCACUUACACGACCAGCACAGAAUAUAUCUCGAUCAGCAAAAUACUGUUACAGACAGGGUAUCUAAUUAAUAUGCCACUAUUAAUCCUAAGCAAAUAGAAGAAAUAAGAGUUUUCAGCAAGAUAGAUAGCCAUACAGCUAAAUAGUCACAUCAUUCUUCAAUAUUCCAUAUAUUGAACUAUCGAUCAAUAUCAUCAAAAAGGAGUAUACUGUGAAGUCCUAUAAGACUAACAUAUGAAUCAUACAGAACUUUCUUGCACAUGUCUGUGAAAAUCUAGGAGAAUUCAAGUAGACAUAAUCUGCAAUUUAUAAGGUGGUUACACCAACCCUGUUAGAAUAUAAAUAGUAAUUGUUUUUUUUUUUACAAAAAAAAGCAUGCAAUAUUGGUGGAGAAAAAGUUUUAUGACCAGAAAGACCAAAAAAAGCUUAUACAAAAAAGACUACCAACUAAAAAAUUAACCAAAACAUAAGAGGAUAUACUGGCCAUGCAUUUUCAAUCAGAAGUUCAAAAUCUCAGAAAUAGAUCAGAGCAUUUACGAAACAAAAGGCACCCACCUGUGUUGCCAGAUCACCGAUUGCAAGGCGUGAAAGAACCACUUUUGCCCCACUUUGCACACAUUUAUCCAACUUGUCAUAAAUGAUAUUCCAUUCCGCAUCAACAAUGGACUGGUACUGAGAUGGAUCUGACAGCCUACAGCAUGUGAAAAGUAGCUUUGGCAAUUUCAGUUAUCAGCUCUCAAAAGAAAUAUCAACAACUAAGCCUAGAUCCCGAAAUAGUGGAGAGUUCUUAAUAGGAAUGUAUAGUUUAAAAUUUUUUUUAAAAAAAAAACGAAACCUACCUUAUCUCAGCAUUUUCUUUCUCAGAUUUCAGCUCCAACUCAAUGUUGAGUAAGAGCAUCUUGGGAUUCACAAACUUCUUUGGUUGUUGUUCAAACCCCGCAUAAGAAAACGUCUUUUGAAAGGCAACACCAUUAACCAGAAAUGAAUCUCGCAUAGUACCACCUGGGACCUAUGGGGGCAAACACAAAUGUUCACUCAAGGAAAUCAAUUUUUUUUUCAUUAUAUACUAGCAACAGAAAAUUUGCAAGUCCAGAAUUUUUCAUUUUUCAUUAUGGAGCCAGCAGCUCAGCACAACACCAGAAUCUGAGAGAACUUUUGAGAUGAUGAACAAAUGCAUUACACAAAAAAACGGAGAUUUCUAUGUGCAGGUCCAGGAUCUCAUGUUGCCUAAAUGCCUUAGACAUUAUAUCGCCCACAUGACUAUGAACACCACAGAUUCUCAUCAUAAAAUGUCCUCAACAACAUUUCAAAAUCAAACCCACACGAUUUCCUAAAUUCUAUGUCUUGAAGCCAUUUAUAAAACUGCCAAUUAUCACAGAAUAACAUGAAGAGUGAGACAAAAAAAUAUAGGAAGAAAAAAUACAAAAGCAUUUCCCAAUAAGUUUACCUUCUUUAUUCCAAUCAUAUUUAGCCUGUCAUCAUUCCCAAUUGCAAUCACAGCAUCCACGACCAUUGAUGCAAAGAACUCCUUCUCGCAUAAGAAAGCGUCUUUCAAACAAUAAGAAAGAGGUAAAGCUACGCUGUGUAGACGUGUGCUGAAAAGACCCAGAGAAGGAGUCCUCUCAACGAUGAGAACCGUUCAUGCGGUACAACUCAUUGCUGUGAAUAACAUGAUGAAAUUUGCCUGCAAAUAGGAAACGUGUAAAAGCCUCUGAAAAUCUAACGCUGGAAUAUACUAAACCUGGAACAGGGUUGUUCUUUUUCAUUUAUUUGUAACAAAAGAAAACCGUUAGUAGAAAAGGCAUACCUCCACACAUUUUGCAUCUGCAUUACAAAAAUUUAGUGUAGUUUGCCUAACUUUUUGCCACCUUCAUAAAUGCAUAGCAUACAGCAAUCCAUUAGUGUAUAGAAAAUAAGUUGAAAGUAAAUGACAGUGUUUUGCGAGGAAACACACAGCUCACCACUGAUUUGAGAUGCAGCCUUUCAUUUGGCCUCUGCACAGGCUUGUAAAGUACAGUUUGCCCGCAUAAAUGAACAUCAGACACCGAAUUGCAUCCAAGAAUAAUAGAAUGCCUGUAAGUCUCCUUAACUUGUAUGUUAAAGAUGAUGAAACUGCAUUUUGUACAUCAAACUGAAAUCAGAACUUGAAAUUAAUUUCUUAUCUUAAGAUAGUAGAAUUGCAUGACACCUGUGUGAUAACAGAAACGCUGGAGAACAGUACCAGGCAAGCCUCCUUGUUUGAUUGAAGACUGUCUGUCGGAACUUAAGCCGCCUUAAAAUCUUGGAUCCCUAAUAUUAAGUGAUGGAGACUUGAUACUUGCUCAUGAUCACAAAAAAUUAUGUUGGAGUUGCAACUUGCAGGGGUUCCAUCCUGGGCAACAGACCAGCCAAACUUAUUUCCUCAAUUUAAUCCAUUGCUUGCCUAGCAAAGUAAACAAUAAUAAUAAAAAAGGUUGUUCUCCUUACAGAUGCAUGAGGUUGCAUAGCACAUUUUAAGAAGAGGGAGAAAAAUAUGUAGGUAUGUCUAUGCUGUGCAUGACUAUGGACUAGUCCAAUCCAAGCAAGCCUUUUAAAUUAUCCAAUUGUUUAUGUACAUUUUUUCUUUCUUUUAAUUUUUCUUGUCGUUACAGGAGUGUAUGGAAAGAAAAAAGGAAGCAAUAAACCUUGGAUGUGAUUAUGGAGCAGAUAAACCAAGAAAGAAUACCUGAUUAUCUCACUUUUUUUCUCUUUCAAAUCCUUCGGAACAAAGAUAUCAACUUUGGGGAUGUGGGCAAUGAUGGACCAAUAAUCUCCUUUCUCUUUCAAGCAUCGUUCCUCCAGAAGAGGGCUGCUACGGAUACGUAUACAUCCAAGUGAGAGAGGGAAGCCCUCCCUGGGGAAGAACCGGAGUAUAGGGCACUCAAAAAUGUUUAAUACUUCAAGGGAGGUGAGGUGUUGGAGGCCUCUGGAUAUCGAUUUAAGAUUCUCCUGAUUAGAGAUCUCAAGAAAAGUUAACGAAGGGGGAGGCAGCAGACCUUCAUCAUCCGGAAAGCGAUCCACAUCCAUUGUAGAUUCGACUGAGAAUCGUUUAAGAGAGGUGAGCAUGCGGAGUCCCCACUCAGAUAUUGGCAGUGAAAUUUUGCAAUUAAGAAUUUCAAGUGAAGUCAGGUUAGGUGGCAAACCCCUUUCCGUAACAUUUUUCAACGUGAAGCUUUUUGAGGGAAGGAAGGCAACUUGGCAAAUCUCCAAUCAACCUCGGACAAUUCAUCAAGGUAAGCUCACUGAGUUUAGGAAAUUUUCCCACAGUACUUUCAUUGACACCGUCAGACCACAACCAUUGCUCCCACCCCAACAUAUUUCUGAUGUAUAAAGUCACAAGAGAUUGGAAAUCCUCAGCAUACACUUCUUUCACCCCAUCCAUUCCUUCUAUGCUCAAAUGCCUUAGAGCAGGGAGUUUUCCAACCGAUGAAAGUGAUGUGAUCUUCCGACAAGUAGAAAGCUUUAGGUGCACAAUUUUAGAAAAACAGCUAUCCCCUAUCCAUGAUGGAAACUCGGUACCGCCAUAUGAUGUAACUGAAAGCUUUUCUAGACUUCGGUGAGGCUUUAAUGAGUCGAAGACAUGCAGUUCAUUCCUUUCAUUUCGCAGUGAAUCAUCAAAAUUACUAAUCCAAUGCAAGGAUAAGUCACAUAGACCUGCCUUCUCUUUCAGAUUUGCAAGUUCUGCAUCUCGAAUAUUCACCUUAUGCAACCCCUCUAUUUUAAGCUGCCCUUGUAAAUGCGAAAGCUUCAUCAACUCCGUUAUCCCAAGCCCUUUUCCUUCUCCCACGAUAAACUUAGGCAGCAUGCGAAGAUUUAUCAAUUUGCUUAUCUGCAGAGGCAUCUCCUGCAACCCAUCUGUAUCUCUAAUAUCAAGGCACUGCAAAUUAAUUAAAUUGACAACACAUGUGGGCAACUCAACAAGCUUCCGGCACCCACGUAACCUCAAAGUCUGCAAGUUGAAGAGUUCACCCAACGAUUCAGGUAAUCUUUUAAUCCAAGUAUAGGACAAGUUAAGGUAACGUAAACGCUUUAAGGUACCAGUAGAAUUUGGCAAUUCCUCAACAGAAUAACCAGCUAGUGACAAUGCCCUUAAACAUUUUAAUUUUGGCACUAAAUCAUCCAACACCUUGCUAGAUAAGUGAUAAGGCCUUGACUGUGAUAAAUAAGUUGGCAAUGCUAAGAAUGUUCGCAAGUUCUUCAUUUCAUAGAAGACAUCAAAUCUUUGAGAAAUGUCAUAUCUAUGAGAAGUGAAUGAAGAGUGGCGAACUGCAGCAUAUGAUUCUACUGAGCAUGGUUCCUUCUUCGUGUCAUCCAAAUAGAAGCAUAUUUCUCCACUUACAAACUGAGCAAGAUCACUUAUAAGAUCAUGCAUUAUAAAUCGUGAUAUCUUGCUACUAGAUCGUUGAAAAAACGACCUUGAUGAUAAAUCACGAAAAUAUUCAUGGCCUAAGUCUUCCAUGUGCUUCUUUUUCAUUUUUUGCUUCAGAAAACCUUCUGCCAUCCACAGGGAAACUAGCUCGCCCUCUUCGAACUCAUAAUCUUUAGGAAAGAUUGCGCAGUAAGCAAAACACUGCUUCAAAUGGGAAGGAAGAUGAUUAUAGCUUAAUCUCAAAGCUGAAAGAAUGCCACUUUCAGUUUCUGGCAAAUUCCACAUCUCACUGCUCAAAAUGUCUUCCCACCCUUCAAGGUUCUGCUUAUGGCGUAAGAGUCCUCCAAGUGUCUUUGCAAUCAAAGGCAAUCCUUUACAUUUUUCCACCAUCUCUUCUCCUAUUUCUUUCAAUUCCAAAUGAGCAUCAAAAUUUCUGGAAUCCAAAGCAUGUUGGGUAAAUAUGCGUAGACAUUCAUCAAAUGAUAGCCUCUCCAAAGUGUAAGCACGAACAGUGCCCAUUUUUGAAGCAAUGUCUUCACUACGAGUUGUGAUGAUGACUUUGCUCCCCCUUGCUCCUGCACUGAAGGGAAGAGAAAGGGCAGUCCAAUCAUCAUGGUUGUUACUCCAAACAUCAUCCAACACUAUCAAAAACUUCUUUCCAGACAAUUUUUCCUUCAAUCUUUCUUGAAGAACAUUUAAAUCAUUAUCUUCACAACUUUCCAAGUGCUGGAGAAUUGUUUUUGUUAUCCUCGGAAUGUCAAAAUCAUCAGAAACACAGACCCAUGCUUUGCAAUCAAACUUCACUCUCUCAUCAUUGUAGACAAGUUGAGUAAGAGUUGUCUUCCCGAUACCACCCAUUCCAAUUAUUGGAAUGACGGAGUACUCAAGGUUGCUAGCAUCAUCGUUCAUCAACAAUUCAAGUAUGGCUUUCUUGUCAUUGUCCCUCCCACAAACAUCGGAUUCUUUGACCAGUGAUGUAGUCGCGCUUUUUUUCACUCCUUUUGACCUCUGUUCAGCCAUGAUUCCCACGUCGAGCUCAUUUUUCUCUUUAGCAAUUGCUUCUAGUCGUGUAGUUAUGCCCCGCAGCCUGGACCCCGUCCUCAUAUUAAGCUCAAUAGCACUUGGAUUCAGACCAGCACAACAAGUUGGGAGGAGCUUCCGGACAGUACUGCUGCUGGCUUGAGAUUCUGCCCUCAUCUUGCUUGCCAAAGCUUCUGUUUGAAACUCGUCCAGCACGUCCUCCACAUCAUAAGCCAAAUCUCGGAGCUUGGUAAGCCAGAUUUUCACAGUCGAAUUUAUGAUUUGCUUCUCUUCUGCAUCCUUAAGAACUGCAUCAAUUUCUGACAGUCUUAGCUUCCACUUGUUAAGUUCUUUCUCCACUUGCGUUUUGCGUACGAAGUUCAGAAGUUCUCCAGAGGUCAACUUUCCAAGCAAAGGCUCAAGAAGAGCCGAGAGAAAGACUUCUCCAACAACUU